UCCCUGGUGGUCCAGCGGUUAAGAUGCCACACUCCAAAUGCAGAAGGCCCAGGUUCAAUACCUGGUCAGGGAA
Transfer RNA from Ovis aries (sheep), 73 nucleotides. It matches the Rfam family "tRNA". From Rfam's summary of the family: Transfer RNA (tRNA) molecules are approximately 80 nucleotides in length. Their secondary structure includes four short double-helical elements and three loops (D, anti-codon, and T loops). Lineage: Eukaryota; Metazoa; Chordata; Mammalia; Artiodactyla; Bovidae. The record is from Rfam.